UGGGGAAUAUUGGACAAUGGGCGCAAGCCUGAUCCAGCCAUGCCGCGUGAGUGAUGAAGGCCUUCGGGUUGUAAAGCUCUUUUGGCGGGGACGAUGAUGACGGUACCCGCAGAAUAAGCCCCGGCUAACUUCGUGCCAGCAGCCGCGGUAAGACGAAGGGGGCAAGCGUUGUUCGGAAUUACUGGGCGUAAAGGGCGCGUAGGCGGUCCGUUCAGUCAGGCGUGAAAGCCCUGGGCUUAACCUGGGAGGUGCGCUUGAUACUGUUGGGCUUGAGUGUGGGAGAGGAUGGUGGAAUUCCCAGUGUAGAGGUGAAAUUCGUAGAUAUUGGGAAGAACACCGGUGGCGAAGGCGGCCAUCUGGACCACAACUGACGCUGAGGCGCGAAAGCGUGGGGAGCAAACA
This 402-nucleotide ribosomal RNA is filed under the name uncultured bacterium. Its description in RNAcentral is "bacterial SSU rRNA". It matches the Rfam family "Bacterial small subunit ribosomal RNA", at positions 355 to 774 of the family's 1533-position model. The record is from RNAcentral.